RNAcentral lists this transfer RNA (71 nucleotides) under Loxodonta africana (African savanna elephant). It matches the Rfam family "tRNA". From Rfam's summary of the family: Transfer RNA (tRNA) molecules are approximately 80 nucleotides in length. The record is from Rfam by way of RNAcentral. Lineage: Eukaryota; Metazoa; Chordata; Mammalia; Proboscidea; Elephantidae.
GGAGUGGUGGUUCAAUGGUAGAAUUCUUGCCUUCUUUGUGGGAGACCCAGGUUCGAUUCCUGGCCAAUGCU